Molecule: RNA transcript, 2283 nt
Organism: Momordica charantia (bitter melon)
Lineage: Eukaryota; Viridiplantae; Streptophyta; Magnoliopsida; Cucurbitales; Cucurbitaceae
Gene name: Protein kinase superfamily protein
Source: RefSeq, a predicted model, not a curated record
AAUUCCGCAGUGUUCCUCUUUCCCGGCAGUAGGUACGCACCGAAUAAACCCUAAUCGCGCUUGUCGCGACAUCACGACCGAAGCCCUAGCUCAGAUUUUCUUUCAGAUUUAUCUCCGAAACUCCAGUUUUACUAACGAUAUAGUUUUCAUCUGCUCUUCUAAAAUUCUUUAUUUAAUCUUCAUUCAUCUCGUCAAUGGCGGACGCUCGGAACGGCGAUCGGUGUGAGGAGACUGACUACACCUCGGAGGACGAAGGGACUGAGGAUUAUAGGCGAGGAGGGUAUCAUGCGGUUCGUGUUGGGGAUUCCUUUAAGAAUGGAUGCUAUGUUGUUCAAAGCAAGCUCGGAUGGGGUCACUUCUCCACUGUUUGGUUAGCUUGGGACACUCAGAAAUCGCGUUAUGUAGCUUUGAAAAUUCAAAAGAGUGCUCAGCAUUACACGGAAGCUGCACUGGAUGAGAUUAAGAUUCUCAAGCAGAUAGCAGAAGGAGAUUUAGAAGACAAGAAGUGUGUUGUGAAGCUUUUGGAUCAUUUUAAACAUUCUGGCCCAAAUGGGCAGCAUGUUUGUAUGGUUUUUGAGUACCUCGGUGACAACCUAUUGACUCUUAUUAAAUAUGCGGAUUACAGAGGGAUUCCUCUUCAUAUGGUGAAGGAAAUUUGUUUUCAUAUUUUAGUGGGAUUAGAUUACUUGCACAGUAAACUUUCAAUUAUACAUACUGAUUUGAAACCAGAGAAUGUAUUGCUUCCGUCUAUGAUUGAUCCAUCAAAGGAUCCUAGAAAAUCAGCAAAUCCUCUCAUCCUUCCGAACAAUAAGAAUAGAACUUCGACUAGUUCUGAUGCUUUAAAUGAUGUUAAGAGUUACAGUGGGGAUCUUACCAAGAACCAGAAGAAGAAGAUAAGGAAAAGGGCUAAGAAGGCAGCUCAGGGCCGUUCAGAGAGGGAAACUAUUGAAGAUGUAGAUGCAGAAGACUCUACAAGAGCUGGCCCAGGAGAUAUUGAUAAUGGGGUUAAGUUAAAUGGGGAUUCGACCGAAAUAUGUAAAGAUGGUUCAUUGAACGAAGGUGGGAUAGUAAAUGCUGAUGAUGUAAAGGAUGCUUGCGAAGGGAAGAAAGGUCAUAGGAGAAGGAGCCAAGAAACAAGGAAGAGACUGCUGGCAGCUGCUGAUCUUAAGUGCAAGCUGGUUGAUUUUGGGAAUGCAUGUUGGACAUACAAGCAAUUCACUUAUGAUAUUCAGACUCGGCAGUAUAGGUGUCCUGAGGUUAUUCUUGGAUCUAAAUAUUCGACUCCAGCAGAUAUGUGGUCAUUUGCUUGUAUUUGCUUUGAGUUGGCCACUGGCGAUGUUCUUUUUGAUCCACAUAGCGGCGACAACUAUGAAAGGGAUGAGGAUCAUUUAGCAUUGAUGAUGGAGCUUCUUGGAGUGAUGCCUCGCAAGAUUGCAUUAGGUGGUCGCUAUUCCAGGGACUACUUCAAUAGAUAUGGAGAACUGAGGCAUAUUCGUCAAUUGCGCUUUUGGCCAAUUAACAAGGUCUUGAUUGAGAAGUAUGAUUUCAGCGAGCAAGAUGCUAAUGACAUGGCUGACUUUCUUAUUCCUAUAUUGGAUUUUGCACCUGAAAAGAGACCAACAGCAGCUCACUGUCUUAGCCAUCCGUGGCUGAGUUCUGUCCCAAGAAUUCUUGAAUCUUCUGUAUCAAGCCAUCAAAAUCAGCCCAUAGAUCGGGAUGUUUCUACAAAAAUAAGCGAGAAGGAUGAGAGAGAGGCCAUGGAGAUCGGAAUGGGUAACAUAGCUAUUGAUGGAACAUCAAGAUCGACGUCAUCAAAACCAACAUAAUUAAAGCCUUAACACGUGUGGCAUCUCAGGGCAUAUCUUGUGCAAUAUAAUCCUGGUUUGUUGCUGCUCAGGGCUUCUGCUGGAGUCGGAAGCAUUCAUAAUCCAUCUUGAUUUGCAGUGAUCCUACACACAUUAUGAAGCAAUUGUCUUUUCUUCGAGAGGGUAGACCAGUUUUUUCGUAGGCCCUUUUCGAGCUACUCCAAACAUCAGAAUGUUUUAAGCAUUUGUUGGUUUGACAGAGCCCCUUCGAGCCAUGAUCAUGUUGGCACUUGGCAGUUCGAAAACUUCCUUAGCAAUGGGGGGACUGUUCGGAGCUCUUUAUGAAUAAAUUUGAGGACUAAAUAUUCUAUGAAAAAUAUGUUUUAGUUAAUGUUGCAUAAUUGGUUAUCUAAGUUAAGUUAUUUACUUAGUUUGAAAUCCGCAUGAGGUAGUAUGGUGUAUCUAUAUCAAAUUAAUU